This is an RNA transcript of Globicephala melas (long-finned pilot whale), 2851 nucleotides long. It is a transcript of the gene named adenosine deaminase tRNA specific 2, with no coding region annotated. The record is from RefSeq and is a predicted model, not a curated record. Lineage: Eukaryota; Metazoa; Chordata; Mammalia; Artiodactyla; Delphinidae.
UCCUCCGCCGCCGCGGCCUCCGGCACUGAGCGAGGCUGCCCCGGUGCAGUAUGGAGGCGAAGGUAGGGUCCACGCAGAUUACGGGCGGCGCGUGCUCUGUGUUGGCGGAGGAGACCGAAAAGUGGAUGGAACAGGCGAUGCAAAUGGCCAAAGAAGCCCUAGAAAAUAUUGAGGUUCCUGUUGGCUGCCUUUUGGUCUACAACAAUGAAGUUGUAGGGAAGGGAAGAAAUGAAGUUAAUCAAACCAAAAAUGCUACUCGACAUGCAGAAAUGGUGGCCAUCGACCAGGCCCUAGAUUGGUGUCGUCGACAUGGCAAGAGUCCUUCUGAGGUGUUUGAACACAUGGUGCUGUACGUCACUGUGGAGCCGUGUAUCAUGUGCGCAGCCGCUCUCCGCCUGAUGAAAAUCCCGCUGGUUGUCUAUGGCUGUCAGAAUGAACGAUUUGGUGGUUGUGGCUCUGUUCUAGAUAUUGCCUCUGCUGAUCUACCGAAUACUGGGAGACCAUUUCAGUGCAUCCCUGGAUAUCGGGCUGAGGAAGCAGUGGAGAUGUUAAAGACCUUCUACAAACAAGAAAAUCCAAAUGCACCAAAAUCAAAGGUUCGGAAAAAGGAAUGUCAGAAAUCCUGAACUUGUUCUAAUGAAAGACUCAUGUUCCUGGACGACAUUCUUGGACAGAAAGCUGUUGACAUUGUUGAAUCAUUGUGUUUGCAGCAUGCUCGCCAGACGUGGAAUCUUAGAAGAGCCACUGCGAAUGCUAGAUGCAGUCUGUAGAAUUCAUUGUCUUUUAAAUUUGGAUAUCAUUCGUGACCACACACGCUUAGGAAAUGGAGUAUGCAUGUCAUUCAGAUGCUCCUGGUACAGCUCAGAGACCAGCCUGCCUUCCUGUGGUUUCCGUGGAAUCGAAAUGUUUGCAUGGGUUUCGUCAUCUCCAGAAGCCAGCUGGUCAUGCAGUGACGGCCUCGUCCUUCACCAGGAUGCCAAGUGUCGGGGGAUGAACCCAGAGACUUCAUAGAGCAGGCUGGUCCAAUUUAGGAAACGGAAUCCUCUAAAGUCAUAAGUAGAGAUGCAAAAGCCUUCAGUUGCUUCUAUGUUACUGAAAUCUUGAGAAGUGGAUCUAGAAGCACAUUCCUCCUCCUCUCCCCUCCUCAAGAAUGUGGAUGAUGGAGUCGUCUUUACACUUGCACGUAGAGAAAAGGGUAAAGCGUGAACGUCCUUUUGAGCACCGGUGGGGUUAAGCCAGAGGUUCCAAGCCAGAGGGAGAAACCGCAGGUCAUUUUUUUCUCACCCCUCGUUGAUUAUAGAGCAAGUAGUAGAGUCAUCCCAAUGGAUUCUGCUCCAGGACAAGCCUGGAGCUUCUGUGAAGGGUCAGUGGGUGCAUUGGCAGCACCUGGGCUGGGUAGGCAUGUCUUAGCACAUUCCCUGUCCCUGGCGAGACAGCCCUGGGUGUCCUGCCAGAAGUGUGGCCAGAGUUCAGGGCCUGGAGUUCCCAAAGCAAAGAUGACCCACCAUAGGAAAACCAAACCAAACCCCAAAUCUGAUCGUAUGAUCUUAUUUCAAACCUAGCAGUGAUGUAUAAAUCCAACGUGCUGCAGUAUAAGUGAGUUGAAUCAGCCUUAGGUCUAAAGCCCCACAGGUGUCAACUCCUUUAGGUGUUGGUUUGGUGGCAAAAAGUAGAAAAGUGUUAUUUGCUAAAGAAGAGGGGUAGGAACAGGGCUCCAGAUGAACCGUCCCAGAAAGUCUUUAAAAAUAUUCCAUUCCUUGAGGUUUCUUCAUUCUGAGAGUCAACUGGAGAAAUAAUUUCCUUUUAAGUGGUGGUUUUUCUUCUUUCCUGCCUUUUUUUGUUUUAAACACAUUUAAUUUUCUGUUAAUAAUAUCAAUUCUAUAGUUACAUAAAACUUUUUUUUUAAAACAUAGACCUUUCUCACUUCAGGUCAAAAUAUAACUUAUUUGAUGCUAGAUGUAACACACAAACAUCUCAGAAAAAUAAGCAACACUGUCACGGACAUCUUUAUCUGGUUUCUGACCUUAAAAGGGAAUGCCUUUGGUAUUUGAGAUGACUAUUUCUUCUCAUGAUAUGAGAUAUUUUUAUAUUACUAACGGUAUUAUCAAAAAUAAAUGUUAAAAUUUCUCAAAUGCCUUAGAGCAACUGUGAAGAGAAUCAUAUGAUUUUUUUCUUUGUGAACUAUUGAGGCAAUGUUUUUAACAAAAAUCCUAAUAUUAAGCCAGCCUUGAAUUUUUAGAAUAACUCUUACUUUUGAAAAAUGAUUUCUAUAGCGUUGGGUUUAUGUUGGUGAUAUUUUAGCUAAAGCAAGUAAAAAAGUUCUUUUUUUGCAUGUUGCCUUUGUUUUGAGGGUUUUAUUAACUUUGAAAAAUAAUUUGGGAAGUGUUUCAUCAUUCUGUAAUCUUGGAACAGUUUAAUAAACAUGAGAAUUGUUACUUGAAAGUUUUCAAGAACUUGCUCAUAAAAUACUCUGGACCCAACUCCUUUUUUGGAGCUAGUUAAUUGAACAUUAAAAAAAAAUGGCUUUCCACAGGGAGAUCAGCUCGGAGCUUUGUGACCACCUAGAGGGGUAGGAUUGGGAGGGUGGGAGAGAGAUGCAAGCGGGAGGAGAUAUGAGGAUAUAUGUUUAUGUAUAGCUGAUUCACUUUGUUAUACAGCAGAAACUAACACAUCCUUGUAAAGCAAUUAUACUCCAAUAAAGAUGUUAAAAAAAAUGGCUUUCACGAAUAUCAGUCUAUUACAGCUUUCUAAUUCUUACUGAAUCCAUUUUCCUUGAAUUUCAUUGGCUUCUAAGAAUUUGUUGUCAUAGAGCUAUAAGACAUAUUUUUAUAAUUAAAAAUUUGUUUACAUC